Molecule: ribosomal RNA, 508 nt
Filed under: uncultured Acaulospora
Lineage: Eukaryota; Fungi; Glomeromycota; Glomeromycetes; Diversisporales; Acaulosporaceae
Description: SSU rRNA
Rfam family: Eukaryotic small subunit ribosomal RNA
Source: RNAcentral
AGCAGCCGCGGUAAUUCCAGCUCCAAUAGCGUAUAUUAAAGUUGUUGCAGUUAAAAAGCUCGUAGUUGAAUUUCGGGAUUCAUCCGUUGGUCGGGCUUCACGGUCCGUACUGGUGUGAUGGGUUCCUACCUUCUGAAUAAUCGGCAUGCCAUUAAUUUGGUGCGCCGGGGAAGCAGAACUAUUACCUUGAAAAAAUUAGAGUGCUUAAAGCAGGCAAGUGCCUGAAUAGGUUAGCAUGGAAUAAUAAAAUAGGGCGGCAUGGUUCUAUUUUGUUGGUUUCUAGGAUCACCGUAAUGAUUAAUAGGGAUAGUUGGGGGCAUUAGUAUUUAAUUGUCAGAGGUGAAAUUCUUGGAUUUAUUGAAGACUAACUUCUGCGAAAGCAUUUGCCAAGGAUGUUUUCAUUAAUCAAGAACGAAAGUUAGGGGAUCGAAGACGAUCAGAUACCGUCGUAGUCUUAACCAUAAACUAUGCCGACUAGGGAUCGGACGAUGUUAAUUUUUUAAUGACU